GCCUCUGUAGCUCAGUGGCAGAGCACUGGCCUUGUGAACCAGGAGUCGUGAGUUUCAUCCUCACAGGAGGCA
RNAcentral lists this transfer RNA (72 nucleotides) under Acanthoscelides obtectus. It matches the Rfam family "tRNA". From Rfam's summary of the family: Transfer RNA (tRNA) molecules are approximately 80 nucleotides in length. Their secondary structure includes four short double-helical elements and three loops (D, anti-codon, and T loops). Further hydrogen bonds mediate the characteristic L-shaped molecular structure. tRNAs have two regions of fundamental functional importance: the anti-codon, which is responsible for specific mRNA codon recognition, and the 3' end, to which the tRNAs corresponding amino acid is attached (by aminoacyl-tRNA synthetases). tRNAs cope with the degeneracy of the genetic code in two manners: having more than one tRNA (with a specific anti-codon) for a particular amino acid; and 'wobble' base-pairing, i.e. permitting non-standard base-pairing at the 3rd anti-codon position. The record is from Rfam by way of RNAcentral. Lineage: Eukaryota; Metazoa; Arthropoda; Insecta; Coleoptera; Chrysomelidae.